GAUGCUUUCUUAUUUCUUCAUUCAACUUACAAGAGUCUAACCAGAACGAUACUGAAGCAAACACUGGUAGUGCUGGUUGUAGCAGCUGGUGCAUCACCAACAAAAGUUUCACAACUAAUAUUUCAAUUCUAGGCCCAGUAGCCUUUGUUAGGUCAAAGGUGGGAGAGAGGCAAGGCAGGGCCUAAGAAGAACUUGACCUAUGAUGAAAGACUUGACAUAGGCUCAGGACUUUGGGAUAGGGGGACAGCAGAGAAUAGUGGAAAUGUAGUGAACUCAAGAGUGUAUGUGCUAUAAAAGCCAGGUUUUCUGUGAAGCACAGGUAACACAAGUCUUAACAUAGGAAUGUGUGCACCAAAAAUGACUGGAGACUAGUCCAUUCAAGUUCUUGAGGGAAAAAGUACUAGUCAAGCCAGGAACAUGCCUCCUAGAAAAAUGUGAUGAGUAAAGUCUUGACAGGCAGUUUCCUCCUCUCAGGUCUCCUGCCUUCCUCACCAGCAAACUUUCAAAGUGAAUUUUAAAAUAGUACUCUUCCCUGGAUAUGUCCUGUUUGCACUAGAAAAAUUACCUGUAAAAUCUCCUCAGAUGUUAUAAAAAUAUGGAAACAGCAACUUGAUUCUACAUAUGCACAAAAUGGGAAGGUAGUUCAGACCUUAAAAGGUGGUUGUGUGGUCAUUUCAAGUACUUAAGCUAAGUGCAAGCUAAUUUUAAGCCUUGUAUUCAAUAGUCUCCUUGGUUAAUGUGGUAUAUAUUUCACUGGUUGUAAUACCCUAAUUGACACAUGAUGGUUUAAUUAGCAUUGUUCUUCAUGGUAUCCGAAAUAAUGGUGUGCCUUCAAUCAAUGGUGUUUUAUAUCAUCCACCUACUAAGCAUUAUUUGGGAAGUUUUAUUUGAAAGCAGUCUUUAAGACUUGUAACCAGAAGGGGAGUGUGUGUAUGCACACCAUAACCUUUUCUCUCCUCAGAAAUGAACAAAGUCUAUAAAUAUUUAAGCUAGGAUGCUAGCAGAAAUAGGGAGAAAUGGUCAAAUGGCCUUUUAAGACACACACACACGUAACCUAACCUGGGCAUCAGCUCUUAGAACAUUUAAUUGGCAUAAGGAGACCUGUGUGCAUAGUGUUAUUUUUAAAAAGUACCCCCAGGUAAUUCAACAGUAUAGCAAGGCUUGAGAAAGGAAAAAUAGGGAAGUUCCCUUUUGCAUGUAACACUCCAUUCCAGGGGGGCUGGCCUCACAGGGAAGCAGGUAGACUUCUAUGAAACAAGCAGACUAUUCUCAAUUUCUCUGGAGAGAGAGUUCACCAAUUAGCAAAUACUGGCAAGGAUAAGGAGCUAAUGAAAUAGGGUGAAUUCCUUAGUAAAGGAAACUACCAUAAGGAACAUGGAUGGCUAAAGCGCCCAAGAGGCUGGGCAGUUGGGAACUGGCUGAGAACAGGAACAUCUGCCCUUGCGCUCAACUAGCCACACACACUUCAGGGGAAGACUGCUCUGUUACACUUUGAGGACUUUUUGUU
Long non-coding RNA from Panthera uncia (snow leopard), 1507 nucleotides. RefSeq lists it as uncharacterized. NCBI's taxonomy places the organism in Eukaryota, Metazoa, Chordata, Mammalia, Carnivora, Felidae. The record is from RefSeq and is a predicted model, not a curated record. The transcript has 2 exons.